This 497-nucleotide ribosomal RNA is filed under the name uncultured bacterium. RNAcentral's name for it is "partial 16S ribosomal RNA". It matches the Rfam family "Bacterial small subunit ribosomal RNA", at positions 28 to 507 of the family's 1533-position model. The record is from RNAcentral.
GAUGAACGCUGGCGGCGUGCCUAAUACAUGCAAGUCGAGCGGACAGAUAAGGAGCUUGCUCCUUUGACGUUAGCGGCGGACGGGUGAGUAACACGUGGGUAACCUACCUAUAAGACUGGGAUAACUUCGGGAAACCGGAGCUAAUACCGGAUAAUAUUUCGAACCGCAUGGUUCGAUAGUGAAAGAUGGUUUUGCUAUCACUUAUAGAUGGACCCGCGCCGUAUUAGCUAGUUGGUAAGGUAACGGCUUACCAAGGCGACGAGACGUAGCCGACCUGAGAGGGGGAUCGGCCACACUGGAACUGAGACACGGUCCAGACUCCUGCGGGAGGCAGCAGUAGGGAAUCUUACGCAAUGGGCGAAAGCCUGACGGAGCAACGCCGCGUGAGUGAUGAAGGUCUUCGGAUCGUAAAACUCUGUUAUUAGGGAAGAACAUACGUGUAAGUAACUGUGCACGUCUUGACGGUACCUAAUCAGAAAGCCACGGCUAACUACGUG